UAGCAAAUCUGAAUUUAAGGUUUUUAUGCUCUAAUGGAUGAACAAGCACCAAAAUCAUAAAUAAAUAGUUGUAUACGACCUAUUAAUUUGGUGUCUGAUUAUGCACCAUCUUUUAGUCUUGGAUUAACUCAAGAAGAUGUAGUUAAUGUUGUUUCUAGUCACCUAAAAUCGAAAAAAUUUCAAAGUACGAAGGAACAAAUUCGUAACGACGCGGUGAAGAUGGAUGAUAUUGUCAGAAAAAAAUGAUUGAAGAAAACUCAUUCACCAAAAGAGAAAAAAGAAAAAAAAUUGAAAGAAAAAGGAAAGCCAAAGAAAUUAAAGAAUUAAGUAAGAUUGAUAACGAUGUUCAGAACUCUUCUGAUAAUAAAUCUGAAGAAGAGAUGGAGGAAUAGGUUGUAUUUAACAACAUUGAGCCAACUCAAAGAGAAAUGACAAAGUUUCAAAUACCAGAGAAGGUUGGACUUGAAGAUGAGCGUUAGUUGAUUCGGAUAUGACUUCCAGGAUCCACCGCCUAAACAAAUUAAUGAACGUUCAAAAAAGAAAUAAAAGGUUGAAGAAAUCAGUGAGGAAACAGUCACACAAUAUUGUUGACGAGCAUACCCCAAAGAGGACUCCAGCUCCUCGUGUUGCAAAGAUUGCCAGAGUGAAGACACCAGUAUUUAAGCCAAUACAAACACAACAGGUAACUGCUUCAAAAAUGAAGAAUGUGAAGCAAAUAUCUGGGGUUAUUUUUCCUUCGGUACAGUCAAACAAAAGAAGUCCUGCAGAGACAGAAGUUUGUCGAGAGUUGAAAGGGAUUCGUAGACUUGUGAAAACAAAAUUCAAUUGGAUUCUUAAAGUAAUUGAACAAAGCAAGCAACAGAAUAAAGAGAAAGAUCCUGAUCCCCAACAUAUGGAUUAUGUUGAUGCCGAAACAUCUGAACAACGCCUUAGUCCCAAUGUUGUACAAAAUUUAGGUGAGAAGUUGGAUGGUACAAAGGUAAAUAAUUAACUUACAUAUGUUUAUUCUUUGGACUGCACAUAUAUAAUUUUGUACUUCGCAUUUAUUUGUUCAUCUAUAUAUAUGUAUAUAAAAAUAUACAACUGGAUGUGUGUUUGAUGUUCAUUUAAAUUUUUUUAUUUGUCUGCAAGAGGUGCACUGAUUUACAUUCAGAUAAAACAAACAAUGAAAUUGAAUCUCAAUAUUUAGUCCCUGAUGAGCUUCUCCAAAAUAUGAAUUUGAAUUAUAUACAUUCUGAGAAGGUUGUUCAAGAAGAUUGUCGAAUCAGGGAUGAAAAAUUGAAUGAAAUAAUUUUGACUGAUUCGUAAAUUACAAUCCCCGAUGACCCACUACCGAGUCUAAAUACAUAUCAAAGAAAAAACAUCAUCGUACAUUCAACGGCAAACCGUAAAGAACAAACUCCUGAUGAUUUGAAUGAUAAACAUUUCGAGACUGUUGUUGAAGAGCAUGGUUGAAUCAACAAUGAGUGCGUGAAGAAGGUCAAUAUGGUAUAGAGGAUAAAAUUAGGACACCUCCUAAAACUCAUACACUAAGCACUGAUGCACCAAGGGAUGAACCAGUUUGACCUGAUUCACAAAACACUAUCCCUAAUGAGUUCCUACAUAGUCUGAACGUCUACAAGGAAAAGUAUCAUCGUUCAUCUCUUCACAAAUCUUGAAAAUCAAACUCCCAAACAAAAGAUAAGAAUUAGACGACCAUCCAAAUACAAAGAGUCACUAUACACGAUUAAGUUUAGGUCAGUAGAAGGGAGCUCAGCAAGUGAAAUACAUAUAUUUUCUAAGAAACAUUCAUUUGUUUCUCACCCAAUUGAUGAGAUAGUGGACAAAAAGAUUGUUGAUAAGUUUAUGGACUAAAUUUCUAUCGAUCUUCUUAAAGGUCAUGCUAAAAGGAAGGAAAAAGAGGAUCAUUAUAAGAGGAGCAAAUCAGCCAUUCCAAUGAUGCAUUUCGGAGUUGAAAUUGUUGAAGAUAAAAAUUAAUUUUACACUAUGGUGUUCGCUGAUCAAUCGUGGACAGACUCGCAAAUUGAUGUUUGCUUCUACUAUUUGCGGAAGAAGUCGAAGUAUGAGCCCCACAGCUCUUACAAAUACAGCACAGUGAUUGCAACUUUAUGAAUAUAAUUAGUGUCAUGGCAUACAGUGGAUAAUAGCUUUAUUCCUGUCAAUAUAAGGGAGAAACAUCAUUGAGUUCUCACAGUUUUAUCAUUCACCGAGAGGUUCAUAUUCUUAUAUGAUUCAUAUGAAUCCUCUGGGCACUAUACGGUUGUUCUGUCUGAGAUAGAUAAAUUAGCUGAGAUUAUUUCAUUGUGUCUCAAAGCUUGCAAUUUCUACGAAAAGAAAGGUAUUGAUCUUCAUAACCAUCCAAGAUACAAAGAUAAAGACUUGUUAGAUCUUUUAAAUGUGUUAUUUGAAGAAGAUUUGCCUCAACAACCAAGCAAAAGCUUGGACUGUGGUCUGUAUAUGAUAACAUACGCAGAGUGUCUUUCAUAUGGCAAAAGAUUUUCUUCGAUUGAGUUCAACCCCAACACACUUCGUACCCGUUAUGUUGUACUAUUCUGGGACUAUGGCAUGAGAAAAUAAGAAGCAAAUGUUCUAGUGAUGUUGAAGCAUCCUUAAGGCCCGGCAGGCAAAUCCGAAUUACUAGUA
Capsicum annuum is the source of this 2643-nucleotide long non-coding RNA. RefSeq lists it as uncharacterized. Lineage: Eukaryota; Viridiplantae; Streptophyta; Magnoliopsida; Solanales; Solanaceae. The transcript has 11 exons. The record is from RefSeq and is a predicted model, not a curated record.